RNAcentral lists this ribosomal RNA (370 nucleotides) under uncultured eukaryote. RNAcentral describes it as "partial 18S ribosomal RNA". It matches the Rfam family "Eukaryotic small subunit ribosomal RNA", at positions 592 to 976 of the family's 1831-position model. The record is from RNAcentral.
CAAUAGCGUAUAUUAAAGUUGUUGCAGUUAAAAAGCUCGUAGUUGGACCUUGGACCUGGACAGGCGGUCCGCCUCACGGCGUGUACUGUCUUGCUGGGUCUUUCCUCUUGGUGAUCUGUUGUUUCGGCAGCAGGGAACCAGGACUUUUACUUUGAAAAAAUUAGAGUGUUCAAAGCAGGCUCGACGCCGGAAUAUAUUAGCAUGGAAUAAUAAAAUAGGACGUGCGGUUCUAUUUUGUUGGUUUUUGGAAUCGCCGUAAUGAUUAAUAGGGACAGUCGGGGGCAUUAGUACUCACAUGCUAGAGGUGAAAUCCUUGGAUUUUGUGAAGACUAACUUCUGCGAAAGCAUUUGCCAAGGAUGUUUUCAUUAA